This is an RNA transcript of Propithecus coquereli (Coquerel's sifaka), 497 nucleotides long. It is a transcript of the gene named 40S ribosomal protein S12 pseudogene, with no coding region annotated. Lineage: Eukaryota; Metazoa; Chordata; Mammalia; Primates; Indriidae. The transcript has a single exon. The record is from RefSeq and is a predicted model, not a curated record.
UCCCUGCCGCCGCCGAGUCGUGUGGAGGCGGAGGCUUGUGUGCUUUCAAGAUUCGGCUUCACCGGUAACCCACCGCCAUGGCCGAGGAAGGCAUUGCUGCUGGAGGUGUAAUGGACGUUAAUACUGCUUUACAAGAGGUGCUGAAGACCGCCCUCAUCCACGAUGGCCUUGCACGUGGAAUUCGCGAAGCUGCCAAAGCCUUAGACAAGCGCCAAGCCCAUCUUUGUGUGCUCGCAUCCAACUGUGAUGAGCCCAUGUAUGUCAAGUUGGUGGAGGCCCUUUGUGCUGAACACCAAAUCAACCUAAUUAAGGUUGAUGACAACAAGAAACUAGGGGAGUGGGUAGGCCUUUGUAAAACUGACAGAGAAGGGAAACCCUGGAAGGUGGUUGGUUGCAGUUGUGUAGUAGUUAAGGACUAUGGCAAAGAAUCUCAGGCCAAGGAUGUCAUCGAAGAGUGCUUCAAAUGCAAGAAGUGAACAAAUAAAAACUUUGGCUCA